AGGCACUGUGGCCGAGUGGUAAGGCAGAGGUCUGCAAAACCUUUUAUAGCGGUUCGAUUCCGCUCUGUGCCUUUUU
RNAcentral lists this transfer RNA (76 nucleotides) under Blattabacterium sp. (Blattella germanica) str. Bge. RNAcentral's name for it is "tRNA-Cys". It matches the Rfam family "tRNA". Rfam says of the family: Transfer RNA (tRNA) molecules are approximately 80 nucleotides in length. Their secondary structure includes four short double-helical elements and three loops (D, anti-codon, and T loops). The record is from RNAcentral. Lineage: Bacteria; Pseudomonadati; Bacteroidota; Flavobacteriia; Flavobacteriales; Blattabacteriaceae.